Molecule: RNA transcript, 1249 nt
Organism: Nymphaea colorata (pocket water lily)
Lineage: Eukaryota; Viridiplantae; Streptophyta; Magnoliopsida; Nymphaeales; Nymphaeaceae
Gene name: aquaporin TIP1-2-like
Exons: 4
Source: RefSeq, a predicted model, not a curated record
GUAGAAGAGCACACCAUCUCUGCGCCUACCAGUGUUGAGGAGAAAGAGAGAGAGAGAGAGAGAGGAACAAUGUCGAUACCGUUCUCGAGAGUGGCGUGGGGAAGGCCGGAGGAAGCGACGCACCCGGAUACGCUCAAGUGCGCGCUCGCCGAGUUCAUCUCCACCCUCAUCUUCGUCUUCGCCGGCGAGGGUUCCGGCAUGGCCUUCAACAAGUUGACGGACGAUGGGUCGACGACUCCGGCGGGGCUGGUGGCGGCGGCGCUGGCUCACGGGUUCGGUCUGUUCAUUGGCGUGGCGGUGAGCGCCAACAUCUCCGGCGGCCACGUCAACCCCGCCGUGACCUUCGGCGCCUUCAUCGGAGGCAACAUCACGCUUCUCCGCGGCAUAGUGUACUGGAUCGCCCAGCUGCUCGGCUCCACCGUUGCUUGCCUUCUCCUGCGCUUCACCACCGACGGCCUGACGACGCCUGCGUUCUCUCUCUCCGACGUCUCCGUGUGGAACGCGCUCGUGUUCGAGAUCGUGAUGACGUUCGGCCUGGUCUACACGGUGUACGCGACGGCCAUCGACCCAAGGAAGGGCACCCUAGGCACGAUCGCCCCGCUGGCAAUCGGCCUCAUAGUGGGAGCCAACAUCUUCGCCGGAGGCCCCUUCACAGGCGCUGCCAUGAACCCGGCGGUCGCCUUCGGCCCGGCGCUCGUCAGCUGGUCGUGGACCUACCAAUGGAUCUACUGGGUAGGCCCCCUCAUUGGUGCCGCCAUUGCCGCCCUCAUCUUCGAGCACAUCUUCAUCAGCCGCACCCACGAGCCGCUCCCACAAUAGAGAGGACAGCGUCCCUCCGGUGGAGUCCUUUGGUUUCCGUCCGCCCUCGCUCAUCCAUUCCCUUUGCGUCCUUUCUUUCUCUCUAUAUCUUCCCCACCAACUUUCUCAUGGCAUCGGACUCAAGUGCAUUGUUCAGUCCACCUAUUUCGCUGAUCUCCUCUUCUUCUCUCAUCCUUUUGUGAAGCUUCUGAGGUUUUGAGUAAGGACAGGCCUUUAAAUGUGCGCGUGCAAAAGAUGAGAGUAUGUGAAAAGAGGUCGAUGGCAGCCCCGAAUUUGUUGAAGUUAAAAGUGUGAUUAAGGAGUUGUUUGGUAAAUAAAAUAGUUUGUAACUGUGUUAUAAAAUUUGUGGUAGAUUUAUAAAACAUGUUUUAAUGUGUUGCAUGAAUGUACCUCCUUAAAAAAAAAAAAAAGUUACAUAUUGUUCUAUUGA